GAUGAAGAACGUAGCGAAAUGCGAUAAGUAAUGUGAAUUGCAGAAUUCAGUGAAUCAUCGAGUCUUUGAACGCACAUUGCGCCCCCUGGUAUUCCGGGGGGCAUGCCUGACCGAGCGUCAUUGCCGCCCUCAAGCACGGCUUGUGUGUUGGGCCCCCGCCCCCCGGCUUCGGGGGGCGGGCCCGAAAGGCAGCGGCGGCACCGCGUCCGGUCCUCGAGCGUAUGGGGCUUCGUCACCCGCUCUGUAGGCCCGGCCGGCGCCCGCCGGCGACCCCAAUCAAUCUUUCCAGGUUGACCUCGGAUCAGGUAGGGAUACCCGCUGAACUUAAGCAUAUCAAUAAGCGGAGGA
Molecule: unclassified non-coding RNA, 348 nt
Filed under: soil metagenome
Description: partial contains 5.8S ribosomal RNA, internal transcribed spacer 2, and large subunit ribosomal RNA
Rfam family: 5.8S ribosomal RNA (bases 1-120)
Source: RNAcentral